This is a long non-coding RNA of Brassica rapa (field mustard), 1313 nucleotides long. RefSeq lists it as uncharacterized. Lineage: Eukaryota; Viridiplantae; Streptophyta; Magnoliopsida; Brassicales; Brassicaceae. The record is from RefSeq and is a predicted model, not a curated record.
UUUCAGUAGAGAAAAUAGCUAACUGACAAACAAGAGAAAACAGACGUUGCUUUGACUUGUGUUACUAUGCUUGCGGGUUUUACAUCUUUCUCAUUCCUUUCUCUUAUUUGGAAAUUUGCAAUAUUCUGUGUUUAUCAACCAUAAUAAAAUAGUAGCAUCUUUAAUUUUAUUUAAAAGAAAAGAGAAAUAAAAAGGAGGGCAAUGGUAGAAUUGUUGACCUGACCGGUAAGUAGAGAAAAGAAAGUGGUUUGGUGUAAUAAAGGAGGAGAAUGAGAUGUUCCACAGUUCAAGUUUUAAUAAUUGAUGUUAAUUGCUAGCCAAGUAGCCACCAUGUGUUUCCCUUGUCAGUGCCGUGCGAAGAUUUUCGGAGGCCCGAGGCGAGUUCAAAAAUAUAUUUUACAUGAUAUAUUUUAAUAAUAUAAAUAUAUAUAUAUAUAUAUAACACUCAAAAGUUUUGAAUUAUUACAUAAACGUUUUCUAAAUUUUCUUCACCAAAAUUUUAUAAAAUAAAAUUUUUAAAUCAUGAACAAAAAGUAUGAAUUUGUAAUAUAAAUACAAAGAUAUAAAUUUUUGAUUGAAAUGUUGGUAGCUGUCAAAAAUGUAACUUAGCAUUUAAAUUAACUAUAAUAAACUAUAUAUUGAAAAUAUUAUAUUUUUUUAAUAAAAUUCUCAUAGAUAUAUAAAAUAAAUAUAACUCAUAGCACAUAAAAGAAAAGACCAAUGUGAUCAAAUAUUUACAGUUUUUUAGAAGUAGAAUCUUUAUAGUUUUAUUUAAAAUAUAGCAAAAAUGAUCACAAAAAUAGUUACUUUAAACAGAAGUCUAAUUUAAAUUCAAAUAAAAAUAAAAAUCUAACUAAGAGAAUAUGUUAACUACCAUGUAAAAGUAUUUUUUUUUUGUAAUUUGGGGUCCUAAAAUUUCUAUAAAGUUUGGGGACCCUAGGCAAAUGCAUUUUUCAAAAGCCUCUAAGCACGGCUCUGUCCCUUGUAAUAUGUCUUAUAAAUCCCAAUAAAGUUAGAUAUAGCUGACCCCAUAAACAAAAAAAAAAAAUUAUAGAAUAGACACAGUUACGUACACAUGUGGUACAUACAGUUGGGUAUGUGGUAUAUGAGAUGUAUCCUGGUUCUGGUUUAGACAAAAAAACAACAGUAAAUGUUUCUUGGCUUUUCGUCAACCAAGAAAUAAUGUGGUUUUGGCUUAUGCUUCAGGAUUGUGUCAGUUCUGACGGCUACUUGGAUUGAUCCUGGGUGCGUCCAAAUCCUGUCCAUGAGUGGGAAUAAGAUCAUUUAAUCCGUAUGGCCAUGGUGCCCGAGCA